ACUGUGGCUCAGAGGUAGAGCAUCUGCCUGAUAUGCAGAAAGUCCAAAGUUCAAUCCAUGGUAUCUCCA
RNAcentral lists this transfer RNA (69 nucleotides) under Sphaerodactylus townsendi. RNAcentral describes it as "tRNA-Ile". The stretch from base 3 to 63 matches the Rfam family "tRNA", at positions 6 to 65 of the family's 71-position model. Rfam says of the family: Transfer RNA (tRNA) molecules are approximately 80 nucleotides in length. Their secondary structure includes four short double-helical elements and three loops (D, anti-codon, and T loops). The record is from RNAcentral. Lineage: Eukaryota; Metazoa; Chordata; Lepidosauria; Squamata; Sphaerodactylidae.